ACCUGAUGAUGUGGGCAUUUACGGAGUAGGUCCCGAAAGCGCUCCCAGGUCUCAAUGAAAAUUUCCCCAUCCAUUUGUGUGAAUCUCAUGAUUGCCCUCUGUAGCU
This is a small nucleolar RNA of Malania oleifera, 106 nucleotides long. NCBI's taxonomy places the organism in Eukaryota, Viridiplantae, Streptophyta, Magnoliopsida, Santalales, Ximeniaceae. The record is from RefSeq and is a predicted model, not a curated record.